Molecule: ribosomal RNA, 253 nt
Filed under: uncultured bacterium
Lineage: Bacteria
Description: partial 16S ribosomal RNA
Rfam family: Bacterial small subunit ribosomal RNA
Source: RNAcentral
UACAGAGGGUGCGAGCGUUAAUCGGAAUUACUGGGCGUAAAGCGUGCGUAGACGGUUUCGUAAGUCGGGUGUGAAAUCCCCGGGCUCAACCUGGGAAUUGCAUUCGAAACUGCGAGGCUAGGGUACGGAAGAGGGAAGCGGAAUUUCUGGUGUAGCGGUGAAAUGCGUAGAUAUCAGAAGGAACAUCAGUGGCGAAAGCGGCUUCCUGGACCAACACUGACGCUGAGGAGCGAAAGCCAGGGGAGCAAACGGG